This 339-nucleotide long non-coding RNA is filed under the name Lupinus mutabilis. RNAcentral describes it as "partial ncRNA". Lineage: Eukaryota; Viridiplantae; Streptophyta; Magnoliopsida; Fabales; Fabaceae. The record is from RNAcentral.
UGUUAUAACAACAACGCUCAUGUAAUAACAACGCUCUUGUUAUAACAGCGCUCUUGCAACAACAGCGCCCAAGAAGUAACAGCACUCUUGCAACAACAGCGCUCUUGAAGUAACAGCGCUGUUGUAACAACAACGCCCAUGUAAUAACAACGCUAUUGUUAUAACAACGCUCUUGAACUAACAGCGCUGUUGUAACAAUAGCGCCUAUGUAACAACAACAACGCUCUUGAAAUAACAACGCUGUUGUAAUCAACAGUAACCAUUUAACAACAGCGCUCCUGAAAUAACAGCGUUGUUGUAACAACUGAUUGUUUAGACUUACAGAAGCAAGCCUCUUAU